GAUGGGGAAAAAGUGAUGACUAAAUUUUUUCCCCAUCAGUGUUGAUUUCUCACUGUUCAAGCCAGAUCGUGUCUGAUGCACCAUC
RNAcentral lists this small nucleolar RNA (85 nucleotides) under Eurypyga helias (sunbittern). RNAcentral's name for it is "Small nucleolar SNORD12/SNORD106". It matches the Rfam family "Small nucleolar SNORD12/SNORD106". From Rfam's summary of the family: This family belong to the C/D class of snoRNA which contain the C (UGAUGA) and D (CUGA) box motifs. This family includes the human ortholog of mouse snoRNA HBII-99 and human snoRNA U106. Lineage: Eukaryota; Metazoa; Chordata; Aves; Eurypygiformes; Eurypygidae. The record is from Rfam by way of RNAcentral.